UUUUUUUUACAAAAAAAAUUAUUUUUAACUCAUGCUAUUUCUUUGUUUAAUAUUUAUCACACUCUCUAUAUAACUAGUUCUAUUAUAUUUCUAACAAAUAAAAUGUUGUUAUUCAAUAAUAUAUUUUUAAUAUAAUUUAAAUCUAAAUGCAAUCCAUUGUUAUUCGAAUGAUGAUUAUAAAUUAUAUUUUAAAAUCUAGUGCUAUUCAAUGAAUGAUUUAAAUCCAAAUUUAAAAUAUAUUGUUAUUCAACUUUUAAGGAUUUAAAAAAAAAAAUUGUAUGUUAGAUUGAUUUCAAAUCAUUUCAUAUGGAGUAUUCUUAGGAUUUUGAAGGAAUAUGAGGCAGUUUCUGGGCAAUUAAUAAAUUUUGAGAAGUCUUCAAUUCAAUUUGGACAUAAGAUUGAGGAACCCGUUAGACAAGAAUUAAGGGACAUUUUGGGCAUUCAGAAUCAUGGAGGAAUGGGAUCCUAUCUGGGUCUACCAGAAAAUUUGGAGGGAUCAAAUAUCCAAGUUUUUAGCUUUGUCCAAGAUCGUUUAAAUAAAAGAGUUAAUGGGUGGACUUUCAAGUUUCUUACAAAAGGCGGAAAGGAAGUGAUUAUUAAAUCAGUGAUUACGGCAUUACCAAAUCAUACUAUAUCUUGUUAUCGUUUACCUAAGGCAACUGUGAAAAAAUUGACGAAUGCGGUAUCACAAUUCUGGUAGAGUCCAGGGGAAGUACACGAGGCAUGCACUGGAAAUCAUGGGACAAAGUAUGUGUGGAUAAGGAUGAAGGAGGUUUGGGGUUCAAAGACAUCACUGAUUUCAACACAGCGAUGCUUGGUAAACAGUUAUGGCGUCUGAUAGAGACGCCAAACACUUUAUUCUCUCGCGUCUUCAAAGGUCGGUAUUUCAGAAAUGCUUCACCUUUGGAACCGAUCCGUUCAUAUUCUUCGUCAUAUGGCUGGCAGAGUAUUGUUUCGGCUAGAUCUCUGGUAAGCAAAGGACUAAUCAAACGGGUAGGAUCUGGUUCUUCUAUUUCAGUAUGAAAUGAUCCAUGGCUCCCAACCACUCGCCCGAGACCAGCAAAUAAAAAUCAACACAAUUUAUAUUCGGACCUUACCGUGGAGUCUCUCAUUGACUCUAACUCACACACUUGGAAUUCACAAGCAAUCCGGGCUUUGGUAGAUCUACAGGAUGCGAAACUUAUAGAAAGUAUACCACUAAGCAGGACUCAGAGGAUAGAUAGGGAUGGAUGGCAUUUCACAAAGUCUGGAAAAUAUACGGUCAAAUCAGGAUAUCAGGUAGAACGGCUCUAUCCAGAUAGGGAAAGACCACCAUUAUUAAUUGGUCCCACAAUAGAUGCUCUGAAGGCUAACUGCUGAAAAAUACGUUGCCCACCAAAGUUAAAACAUUUUCUAUGGCAACUAGUGACAAGAUGUAUAACAGUAAAGAAAAAUUUACAUGCACGGAGAAUACAAGGAGAUAUUUGUUGUGGAAUAUGUGGAGCCCAGGAGGAGUCUAUUAACCAUGUGUUCUUUGAGUGUCCUCCAGCAAUGCAGGUUUGGGCUCUUUCGAAGAUACCAUCAAAUCCAGCUAUCUUUCCGACAAGUGCUCUCUUCACAAAAUUUUGUAUGUUAGAUUGAUUUCAAAUCAUUUCAUAUGGAGUCUCAUGAAUAAAUAAUGGAACUCAAAAUCUAAUGCUACUAGAGAGAUUUUACUAUCCAUCAAUUUAAACCAUCUUAAAAUUUAAAAAUUUGAUAGAUUAAAAAAAAAAAAUUGAUUUCAAAUCAUUAAUUGAAUAACACAUCCUAAUAGAUUCCGAGAUUUGUAUUUGUAUUUUGAAUUAUUACUGAGUGUAGGUAUGAGUACCUUAUAUUACUAAGUUAUUAAUCCUCCGGGGAAAACUAGCUUCAAUUAAUACAUUUUAUAUAACAAGUGGGAAUAAGAAGAAGAUGAAGAAAACAACAAAUUAACUAUAUCAAAAAUUCUUAAUUGUUUUAAAUUCUUUAGAAAAGAGGAAAAAAAUUAAAAAAAAUUACAUUUGCAUAGUAAAUAAUAUUUGUUUCUUACGCACCUAUAAAUUUGCAUAGUUUUAAUAUAUUGACUCAUAUUAUUUUCAAAUGUGUAAUAUGAACUAGUUUUGUACAUAAGUCAACAAUUUAUUUAUAUUUCUUGCUAAACACGAAAUCUGCAAACUGAAAGUGAAGAAAUUGAUGGCAUCUAAAACAUUGUCUUUAAUUUAGAUCAAAUUUAUCAAGAUCUUACUUAAUAGUAAUUUAUCAAUUAAAUAUUUUGUAUAUAAAGACUUGGGUGCUGAAUAAUUAAAAGAGCUUAUGGGAUUGUGUUCAUGAUUAUAUUCCACAAUUUCAAAAAAAUUGAGUGAGCUUUGUUUUUUUAAUAUAGUUUAUUGUUAUCCAAUGAAAUUUUUUGAAAGAUAGGUGAUGACAAAUGUUGGAAGUGUAUUAACAAGAUAAGACUGAAUAAUCUAGGCGACUAGGAAACAUAGUACAACAACAAAAACAAAACACAAGAAAGAGUUGGAUAUGUUAUGGACAUUUAUGACUGGCAUAUCCAGGUAUGAUGCUAUUACCCUAAAUAAAAAGGUAAGAUAAAUAGGUUCCAGUCAUUUUUGAAUUUUAUAUAUUAUAUAAUGUAGUAGUCAUAAAAAAAAUAUCUACACGUCAUUGAAGAUACUUCCUUACACGUCAUUGAAAAUACUUCUUUGUUUAAUAUUCAUCACACUCUCUAUAUAACUAAUUUCUGUCAUAUUUAUAACAAAUUAAUAGAUUGUGAGAUUUGUAUUUGUAUUUUGAAUUAUUAUUGAGUGUAGGUAUGUGUAAUUAUUAUCAGUUUCGUAUUAUUAAUACUCCAAGGAAAAAACUAGCUUCAAGCCCACAUAGAUAAAACAAAAUAAUA
Brassica rapa (field mustard) is the source of this 2893-nucleotide long non-coding RNA. RefSeq lists it as uncharacterized. The record is from RefSeq and is a predicted model, not a curated record. Lineage: Eukaryota; Viridiplantae; Streptophyta; Magnoliopsida; Brassicales; Brassicaceae.